Molecule: long non-coding RNA, 365 nt
Filed under: Sorghum bicolor (sorghum)
Lineage: Eukaryota; Viridiplantae; Streptophyta; Magnoliopsida; Poales; Poaceae
Description: long non-coding RNA (SBIC_LNC013254)
Source: RNAcentral
GAGCCGGCUGAUGCGUGCCCUGCGGGGUGCCUACCGUGGCACGUUCAUGUGCAGCGGCGGGUACACGCGGGAGCUCGGCGUGGAGGCCGUCGAGUCCGGGGACGCCGACCUGGUGUCGUACGGGCGGCUGUUCAUCGCGAACCCGGACCUGGUGGAGCGGUUUCGGCGCGACGCCCCGCUGAACAAAUACGUGCGCAAGACGUUCUACACCCCGGACCCCGUCGUCGGUUACACGGACUACCCAUUCCUCGGCCAGCCUAAGGCGCGCAUGUGAUUAGUAGGUUGCUAAUCAUAAGAGGCGGACUAUUGUUUGUGUAUUGUCAAUUGUGACUUGAGAAAAUAAGCAAACAUACGGUACUCCUACU